CGCACGGGUGAGUAACGCGUAUACAAUUUACCUUAUACAGGAGGAUAGCCUUUAGAAAUGAAGAUCAAUACUCCAUGGCAUUACGAUAUGGCAUCAUAUUAUAAUUAAAGAUUUAUCGGUAUAAGAUGAGUAUGCGUCCUAUUAGUUAGUUGGUAAGGUAAUGGCUUACCAAGACUUCGAUAGGUAGGGGUCCUGAGAGGGAGACCCCCCACACUGGUACUGAGACACGGACCAG
Molecule: ribosomal RNA, 235 nt
Filed under: uncultured bacterium
Lineage: Bacteria
Description: partial 16S ribosomal RNA
Rfam family: Bacterial small subunit ribosomal RNA
Source: RNAcentral